Molecule: ribosomal RNA, 254 nt
Filed under: uncultured bacterium
Lineage: Bacteria
Description: partial 16S ribosomal RNA
Rfam family: Bacterial small subunit ribosomal RNA
Source: RNAcentral
UACGUAGGUGGCAAGCGUUAUCCGGAAUUAUUGGGCGUAAAGAGCUCGUAGGCGGUCUGUCACGUCGGCUGUGAAAUCCCGAGGCUCAACCUCGGGUCUGCAGUCGAUACGGGCAAACUAGAGUAUUGCAGGGGAGACUGGAAUUCCUGGUGUAGCGGUGAAAUGCGCAGAUAUCAGGAGGAACACCGGUGGCGAAGGCGGGUCUCUGGGCCGACACUGACGCUGAGGAGCGAAAGCGUGGGGGAGCGAACAGG